Long non-coding RNA from Triticum aestivum (bread wheat), 3735 nucleotides. RefSeq lists it as uncharacterized. The record is from RefSeq and is a predicted model, not a curated record. Lineage: Eukaryota; Viridiplantae; Streptophyta; Magnoliopsida; Poales; Poaceae. The transcript has 6 exons.
CUCCGUAAGCUCACAACCCUCUCGCGAAAGAAAACAUGCCAAAAAAACCCCAUCCUUUGUUGCCCCCUCCCAUCGAUCCCAUCUACUCCCGCCGACGCCGUCCGAGGGGGAGACAAUGCCGCCGCCACCUCUGCAAGGCAGGGCGGUUUGAUUCCCGCCCCUGCAGCCUCUGCAAGGAAGGGCGGUACUGCACUUCGUCGGUACCGAAGGGGCACCCUGCCGCGGCUGGGGACUCGCCGCCACUCUCCUAUCUCUCACCGCGCACCUUCCCCGGCCAAGGAGCGCCCCAACCUUGCCAUGUCACUCGUGUGGCUCCCAUGGCGCCGCCCGCAUAGCUCCUUGCGCCGCCGGUAAUGACGCCCGCCUCCACCACAACUCCUCUGCCUGCGCCCCCAUGUGUCUGAGAUCCAGGUACUCAUCAUUGUCGAUCCCCAGUGGGAGAGGCCCCCGCCUUCCUCUCCUCCUGCGUGGUGGCCGAUGGCCGCAGUUGACGGCGCUCCUGCGAGCGGGAGACACGAGUGCGGCGCAGGCAGUGACCAAGAGUGAUGAGGCAGCCCCCGGCCGCCUGGGGGCGGUUCUUUCACGUGCUGUAGACCAUGCCAUUCUGCUAUGACGAGGAUGUGCUCCGAUUACGUGGUUAAUACUAUCACAAUGCAAUAACUGGGGAGAUUACAAAGGGAAGGGACAAUAUGUAAGAUGGGGCAAGGAGGCUGGCUUCUCAUGACGACUUCAUAUAUGAUGCAACACUUAAGAGCUACUACAAAGCUUUUUUUUAGGAAGCUACUACAAAACUUUUUUUUUCAGAAGCUACUACAAAGCUUUUGUUCAGCAAAUACCAUGACAAGAGCUUGAAGAUUUCAAAGAUACAAAGGGUUAGCAGAAAGAGGAUACACUGAUUUCAUCUGCUGCACUUAAGAGUCGAGUCUCUCCGUAACAGAUGGUCAGAUUUUGAAGGCUCUGUACUCGAAAUCAUAAGGGAAUUUCUUGUUGUUGCAUCCAGGUGCUGGAAUUCCUCGUAGUGGAGUGAAAACAAUUGUCUCUACGCAUGCAACAGCAAGGUGGGAAGUUGUAAUUAUUGUAGGACUUAUUUUCUGAAAGUUGAAGGGAGGUACUACGCAAGUUACAGGCUUUCAAUUCAGCAUGAAACCAAGACACGUGAUAUAUUGGUAAAACAGUUAGGGUGUGAUGAUUCAUGAACAAAAGAUUCAGAAAAUUUGUUGAAUCAUUUAAGGAGCAAGAACAACAAGUAUGUGCUGAAAAAUUAUUUCCCAUGGUUUCUUCACUCUUGGUUAAGGGAUUCUGGCACAUUCCCAAAGUAGCAACUUGUCAAGGGUUCGGGUCGGAACAAAAUUCAAUAUAUGCUGAUGUAUGGAAGAAAAGCAUAUGAAGUUACAGAAGUGGAUUAUUCUCUAUCGUGAACAAAACAUUAUUUGCUUCCCCAACUAUGAUUAAAUCAUCGGUGCAUGGAUUCACUUAACUCACUUGGAUUAUCUGUAGUUGACCCUCCAUUUAGCCAUAGAAAACUUGUUAAUUAUAAAAUAUUUACUUCCUUUUAAAGCAAUUAAUGUAUAGUUGUUCUUACUAUAUUAUCCUCUAUUUUUCUCAGUAUUUCAGAGAGUGUCAUGUGAGUUCAACAUUACUUGUCUAGAGGUAAUUGUCAAAAUUAGCCUCCCGAGUUUGCUUGUGUCGCUCAUGGUAUUUGUUGAAGUAUAAAAGGUGUUGAUUUUACUGAUUACAAUACGAAAACUAACAAAAUGAUGAUUCAGUUGAAGUUUUUGUGUCCUAUGGAAUUAAUUGUCUAUAUCUCUGUAUAAUUUUAUACUAUAAAUUUUGGCACUCCAAUUUAAAAAGUGAAGCACUUCACAAUUAUGUGUGAUGUUUCAAGCAGAAUUGAGAUUAGCGAAUAUUUUUCUGCAAAAGAAAAGCAUGCAUGACUUGGAAACUAUGAGAUUUCUUAUCAGAAUUACUGCCAGAUAUACGGAUAUUUUUCCUAAAGAGCAAAACCAUAGUUGAUUUACUGAAUUCAAAUAACGGCAUGCAAGUGUGGUUCUAUAUCAAAUAGCUUUUGCAUUUGACAAAAGCAGAAUAAAUGGGAUUCUUACCAUACAAAAAGGUUAAAGCCAGAAUAAAUGAAAAUGUUGGUAUUCAAAACUUUGUAUUCAAGUCCAACUUAGGGGUUCAUAGACUUGCAAAAAAAAAUAUUCUUGAUUGAAGUUGGCUCCAUGAAUUUACAGGCUAAUAUGCAAUCUUGAGCUAUUAUUGUUCUGUAUAUUCUGAGGUGUAGCACCCACUCAUCCUUGUUACAAGGGAUGUAUCUAGAUGGUAAUUUCAUAGAUGGUUUGGUAGACUAUGAAAUUUUUCACAAUCUUGGCACGUAUUUGUAUUUAAGCCUAUAUUGACCAAAUGUGUGAUGUGAUAAGAAAAAUACAGCAUGUAAGGGUGUGGAUGAAUUCAAACAUUUUUACUCCCUCCAUCGCUGUUUAUAAGUCUUGCACGUGUAUCUAGAUCAUCAUUUUAACUUAUAUAGAAUAAAUUGUUUAACAUAAAAAUUAUAUCAUUAGAAAAUAAAAUAUCUAAAGUUUCUAAUGAUAUACUUUUUGUAAUGUAUGCCUCUUAUUAAGUUGGUCAUAUUAAUGACCUAGGUACACGUGUAAGACGUGUAAACUCAGAUGGAGGGAGUACUAGGGAUAAGAAUGAGUGGCUCCAUUAGUACUAGGGAUAAGGUUAGUAAAAAAGAAAGAAACAUUAGUGGUGUGUGAUCCAACAUGAAACGACACGCGGCGUGACCGGUCGGCCGAGUUGAAUCGUUUUGCAUUCAACUACUGGUUGCUUGGUUCCAGCAACAAUUUUUGAGUGUCAAUAACAUAUUAUUGUGUUUGAUAGUAUGAUGUGUGUUAGCUGAUUGUAAAAAAAUGUGUGUUAGUUAAGAUGUGCAUUGUUCUCGGUUAUUUUAGUGCUUGUUAUUUUGUUUUUUCAGAAGCCUGUGGCAACGCAUAGGCGUUCUACUAGUAGUGUGAAUUUGCCAGUACAUUCAAUGUACUGACCCUUUGUGGUUGCAACGUCUCAUGUUGCAGGAUCUUACGACAAGUAAGUGAUACGUUAGGGUUACGAUUCCUAUACUCAACUUUGUCGUUGGUGUUGAUGGGAAUCCACAACCUUGUUACUUCCGCUAUUUGGAUUGAAGUAAUAGUAUUUACGUUACUUUAUACAUGUGAUUUACACUACUGGAAUCAGGAUCUUUGUCGUCAGCCAGCUCUUUGCCGUCUGCUAGCUGACGGCAAAGAAGGUCUUUGCCAUCAGCUUACAGAAAGCUGACGGCAAAAAAAAAAGCGGACGACAAAGGGAGUGUUUGCCAUCAGCCUGCUCUUUGCCGUCAGCUAGCUAAGGUGUAGAAUCUUUGUCGUCUCCUGGCGGACGGUAAAGAGGAUGGGUGGCCCACUAACGAGAACUAUCUAACGGAUAUUAUUUUUGCCGUCUGCUAGCAGACGGCAAAGAGUCCGAAAGCGGACGACAAAGAAAAUAAUCUAACUUGUCUAACAGCCGCUGUCGGUGUCAAAACCGGCGAAUCUCGGGUAGGGGGUCCCGAACUGUGCGUCUAGACGGAUGGUAACAGGAGACAAGGGACACGAUGUUUUUACCCAGGUUCGGGCCCUCUCGGUGGAGGUAAAACCCUACUUCUGCUUCAUUGAUAUUGAUGAUAUGGGUAGUACAAGAGUAGAUCUACCACGAGAUCAA